CGGAGGUUCUGACAUCUUCGAGUUUUGCAAAGCUGUUCUUCAUUGGUUCCACAGUCUGCGGUUCUUCUGUUUGAACUAAGAAAGCAAGCCUUCACUCUCUAGCACACUGCCACCUUUUGUCCGGGAGAAGCAUAGCAAGCAGCGGAAGAGACUUGGGCCAGCAAGAUGGCACAGUGGAUAAAGACUCUUGAAGCCAACUCUGAUAGCCUGAGCUGUAUCCUGGGAACUUCAUGAUGGACUGAAAGAACUAACUCCUCCAAGCUGCUCUCUGAUCUCCUAAUCUAUGUGCACCAAUGUGCAUGUGCAAACACAAGCUCAUAAUGAAUAAAUAAAAUGCACUAUAAAACAUGAAAA
Non-coding RNA from Cricetulus griseus (Chinese hamster), 354 nucleotides. Lineage: Eukaryota; Metazoa; Chordata; Mammalia; Rodentia; Cricetidae. The record is from RefSeq and is a predicted model, not a curated record.